RNAcentral lists this non-coding RNA (47 nucleotides) under Loktanella fryxellensis. RNAcentral's name for it is "SAM-SAH-Weickhmann-2018 RNA". It matches the Rfam family "SAM/SAH riboswitch aptamer". Lineage: Bacteria; Pseudomonadati; Pseudomonadota; Alphaproteobacteria; Rhodobacterales; Roseobacteraceae. The record is from RNAcentral.
CCGCCACAACGGCUUCCUGACGUGGCGGGAUUGUACAUACCGGAGCA